CUCUCUCUUCUCUUCCUCUGGGCUUGCCUCUCUUUCCCUUGCUCUCUCUUAAUCCCAUUACUUUCUGGGUUUUUUUGUUUUUUGUUUUCCGUUUUUCUCUCUGCCUACCUCUUAAGCCCAUCAACAGCUUCAUUGUUGCCUUCUAGGGCAAAAAGUUUACUGAAGGCUUGUCUAAGCUGAAGUGAAAGUAAACAGAAAGAAAGGCUUCCUUUAAUUCCUGAGCUAGAAUUGCAACAAAGUAUAAUGAUGUUUCAGUACAAUAUGUGACCCAAAGAGAUAAAGUUAUAUACUCUAGCCAGGCUUUCAGCUUCCAAUAUGCAAGGGACAGUUGCCCACUGAGCUCUUGAUGAGGUUCUCAAUCAUUACUGGUAAUACGAAGGUUCUCAUGUUUCCAUUUUGAAAAAAAAGAACCUGUAAUCAGGAGAUGUUAGCAUUUUAUCAAUAUGUAGAAGUUGUAGAGGGAAGUUUCCCUGAAGCUUGAAAAGUAAGAAUGGAAGCAGAAGAAAAAUUUUCUAUAAAGGACAGACAGGAUGUGGAAAACUGAAAAUAGCAUCAUGUGGAAAAUUCAAGGCAAACGAGAAGAAACCAAGAGGAUCAUUCCUUUGGCUCGAUUUCAAGAAAAAGAUCCUUAGCUCCUCACAACAAAAUUCAAGGGAUCAUCUGUAAGGAAAUAAAAUCCAGAAUAUCCAAGUCUGAAGCUUCCUGGUGAAAAAGAGCAGCUGGACCCCUACUCUCCCCCGUGAAGUUCCCCUCCCGGUGGAUCAUCUUGCCACCAUCCUGCCUGGAUGAUAAGGAGCUGCUCCUCUUUGAACACACCGAGACCAGGCUGGGUUGUGAAAAAAGAAUCGACUCAAAUCUAGGGGAUGGUUUAAAAAAAGAAUAAAUAAAAAUAAAGUAUGUCCAAGGUGGACUCUGCUUUCUCACAGCUACCUCCCCAUUCCACAUGAGGCCUUAGAAAAAGAAAUUUUGCUUGGAUUCCUCCUAGCUUCCAAUCUUCCUCAUCAUGGUAAAUACCAUACACGAGUACCCACCACAUAGGUGUACAAUCCCAGACACAGAACUAACAUACAGUUAGGCAGGUUGGGCACUGCACAAAGAUAUCACAUCUUAGAAGGCACCAUUCGCAUUGUAGACAUCACAGAUUUCUAUGUUUACCAAAAUAAUUUUCUGGUGAAUGGCAGCUAAGUAUCUUGUUACAUAGUCAGUACAUUGUGAUACUUUUUAUAAUCAUUGAAACUAGAAUGCCUUGAGGAAGACUUGGGGAGGGGGUGCCUUUUCCACUUUGUACACAUGUAUGAUGUGGGUGUGGAGGCCUUGACUGGGCAUCUAGAAUGUUUAAAGUCUAGAAAGAGGAAGAGAGAUCCAGCUCCCUGGCUGUUAACCCCAAACCUAGAGCCUGCUCUCUCAGCUCCCAUUUCCUGUCUAAGGUCUUACCUCUUCCUCUAGCAAUUGACAUAGAGAAUUGCUCCACCCUUCAGCCAAGAGGUCUUUACUUUUGCAGAGCUUAAUGAUAUAACUAGAUUCAUAUAAUACAAUAAUCUACAACAAUAAAUACACACAUGGUAAUAGAAAAUGAUUUCCUUAUAAAGUUUCUAAGAUACACACAUGCAGAGUUGUUUAUUUUAAGGCCAUGUUAAUUUCAGGAAGAACAAAUUUCUGUUACCCAAAUGGCUGAGGAGGUAUUAAAUUGAAUAAUAGAUUAUAUCUGCUGUUCGCUUUGACAACUUAAGCUUUUGUAAUAUCACAUCUAAAACAUGAGGAAAAUAUUACUAGGUUGAUUUGGUUUUCAAUGUAACACUCACUAGAUAUGAUGUCAUAAUUCCUGAAACAUCAAUGAAAAGAGAACGUUUGGUUUUUCAAAUGUGUUGGCCCAGUAUAAAUACAGCUAUUUCCAACAUCAGACCUAGCCAUUUUUAGCCUUCCCACCCUUAGUAUAAGUGUAUUUCUUAAAACAUGGUCCUUAUUGCAAUAUUUUGUACUAUGUUUAAUCCUCAAUAUGUUCUGAGAUUUAAGCUAAAACCAAGCUUUAAUUCUAAAUAAAAAAGAAAACAGUUUUUAAGGUGUAUCUUUGUAACUGCAAUAUAGAAUUUCCAAGUUAAUUAAAAAAUAUUAGCUUGUUACUGUUUAAACUUUCUUAGUGUAAAAUAUAUCAUACCUUCACAAUAGUGUAUAUGUGUAUAUGUGCUGUUUAAAGAAGAAUAAUAAAAGAAGAGCUAUGUACCUACUAUCCAUCUUAAGAAAUAGAACAUAACCAGUACCUUAGAAGUUUCCUUUCUACCUCUCCCUGGUGAUGCUCCUUUCCCUGUCCACCAUAAUUAACCAUAUGUUGAAACUUUGUUAAUCACUCCACGCUUCUAUUAAUUGUUUUAUCAUAUACGUGUAUCCUUAAGCAAUAUAUUGUCUAAUUUUGCCUUCUUUUACAAUUGAUGUAAAUGAAAUCAUACAUAUAUAGGCUUGUAUGACUUGCU
This is a long non-coding RNA of Delphinapterus leucas (beluga whale), 2468 nucleotides long. RefSeq lists it as uncharacterized. The record is from RefSeq and is a predicted model, not a curated record. NCBI's taxonomy places the organism in Eukaryota, Metazoa, Chordata, Mammalia, Artiodactyla, Monodontidae.